This 431-nucleotide ribosomal RNA is filed under the name uncultured bacterium. RNAcentral describes it as "bacterial SSU rRNA". It matches the Rfam family "Bacterial small subunit ribosomal RNA", at positions 355 to 786 of the family's 1533-position model. The record is from RNAcentral.
UGAGGAAUAUUGGUCAAUGGGCUGAGGCCUGAACCAGCCAAGUCGCGUGAGGGAAGACGGUCCUAUGGAUUGUAAACCUCUUUUGCCGGGGAGCAAGACGGUCACGAGUGACCUACUGAGAGUACCCGGAGAAAAGCAUCGGCUAACUCCGUGCCAGCAGCCGCGGUAAUACGGAGGAUGCGGGCGUUAUCCGGAUUUAUUGGGUUUAAAGGGUGCGUAGGCCGACUGUCAAGUCAGUGGUAAAAUUCAGAGGCUCAACCUCUUCGAGCCAUUGAAACUGGCGGUCUAGAGUGGGCGAGAAGUAUGCGGAAUGCGAGGUGUAGCGGUGAAAUGCAUAGAUAUCACGCAGAACUCCGAUUGCGAAGGCAGCAUACCGGCGCCCGACUGACGCUGAGGCACGAAAGCGUGGGUAUCGAACAGGAUUAGAUACC